This 497-nucleotide ribosomal RNA is filed under the name uncultured bacterium. RNAcentral's name for it is "partial 16S ribosomal RNA". It matches the Rfam family "Bacterial small subunit ribosomal RNA", at positions 28 to 507 of the family's 1533-position model. The record is from RNAcentral.
GACGAACGCUGGCGGCGUGCCUAAUACAUGCAAGUUGAGCGAUGAAGAUUGGUGCUUGCACCAAUUUGAAGAGCAGCGAACGGGUGAGUAACGCGUGGGGAAUCUGCCUUUGAGCGGGGGACAACAUUUGGAAACGAAUGCUAAUACCGCAUAACAACUUUAGACUUAAGUUUUAAGUUUGAAAGAUGCAAUUGCAUCACUCAAAGAUGAUCCCGCGUUGUAUUAGCUAGUUGGUGAGGUAAAGGCUCACCAAGGCGAUGAUACAUAGCCGACCUGAGAGGGUGAUCGGCCACAUUGGGACUGAGACACGGCCCAAACUCCUACGGGAGGCAGCAGUAGGGAAUCUUCGGCAAUGGACGAAAGUCUGACCGAGCAACGCCGCGUGAGUGAAGAAGGUUUUCGGAUCGUAAAACUCUGUUGGUAGAGAAGAACGUUGGUGAGAGUGGAAAGCUCAUCAAGUGACGGUAACUACCCAGAAAGGGACGGCUAACUACGUG